Molecule: ribosomal RNA, 478 nt
Filed under: uncultured bacterium
Lineage: Bacteria
Description: partial 16S ribosomal RNA
Rfam family: Bacterial small subunit ribosomal RNA
Source: RNAcentral
GAUGAACGCUGGCGGCGUGCUUAACACAUGCAAGUCGAACGAGAAGUGAAGACGGAAACCUUCGGGCGGAAGGCUUUAUUUCGAGUGGCGGACGGGUGAGUAACGCGUGGGUAACCUGCCUCAUACAGGGGGAUAACAAUUGGAAACGACUGUUAAUACCGCAUAAGACCACAGCACCGCAUGGUGCGGGGGUAAAAACUCCGGUGGUAUGAGAUGGACCCGCGUUCGAUUAGCCAGUUGGCGGGGUAACGGCCCACCAAAGCGACGAUCGAUAGCCGAUCUGAGAGGAUGACCGGCCACAUUGGGACUGAGACACGGCCCAAACUCCUACGGGAGGCAGCAGUGGGGAAUAUUGCACAAUGGGGGAAACCCUGAUGCAGCGACGCCGCGUGAGUGAAGAAGUAUUUCGGUAUGUAAAGCUCUACCAGCAGGGAAGAAAAUGACGUUACCUGAGUAAGAAGCCCCGGCUAACUACGUG